AUGGAUCCUUCGGGAGCUUUUGAUAAGGUUGAAACACCAGUUCUUUCCCAGGGCACGAUGCAGGCAAUGAUGGUAACUGCCUUGGAGUGGGAAGAUGGCCCAUCUUGUGCUCUUUUCGUGGAGGGGACCGAAGACUAUGAGUGGAUGAAUCAAAAAGUAGACAUACCAGUCAAGCAUGUGCAGACACCAAAUGCUUCUAGCUCUGAUGUGCAGAAUUCAAUCCCAUUAGUGCCAAACUUUGACAACACUCCUCAAGUUGAAAGGCCUAGCAACCUCCCAACCGCAGGCCUAGCAACCUCCCAACCGCAACAUUUGACACAGCUCCAAAGCUCCCUAGGGCAAACGACAUUCCGGGGCCUGUGUUUGAUGUGUCCCCCAUCUCAUUCAAAAACGCUUCCUCCGAUGGACCUCAAGUAG
RNAcentral lists this ribosomal RNA (417 nucleotides) under Triticum aestivum (bread wheat). RNAcentral's name for it is "partial small subunit ribosomal RNA". Lineage: Eukaryota; Viridiplantae; Streptophyta; Magnoliopsida; Poales; Poaceae. The record is from RNAcentral.